This is a long non-coding RNA of Physella acuta, 666 nucleotides long. RefSeq lists it as uncharacterized. The record is from RefSeq and is a predicted model, not a curated record. NCBI's taxonomy places the organism in Eukaryota, Metazoa, Mollusca, Gastropoda, Physidae.
UGCCUAAAACGAAAAGGAAUCAUAUGUAAGGGCAAGAAAGAGCAGAAGAAAGAACCUGAUCGCCACCUUAAACGAUAUGCAAAAGCAAACACAGAAGACAAAGAUAACUGAUACUGUUAAAAAGUUUUUAUCUCUCAUAUAUUUAUAAUCUUUACUAUGCUUUAUUUCAAGUAAAAAAUUUAAAAGGUUAAACAGUCUAUGCAUACAUUCCUCACUAGCCGUUAUCUGCUAGGCUUUGCUAUUGCCAUUUAUAUUUCAAAUAUAAACCAUAUUAUAGAUAUGUUUGUUUACAAAAUAUUUUAAGAAAAAUUAAAGCUCUUAAAACAGCAACAGCAUGUGAUUCUAUAAAAUGACCUAGGCAUCAACUACCAUUUCUCAAUAUUCCUUGUCAGACAAAUGUAUAUAAUAAGCAUCAGAACUUGUACACAUACAGCAUACUCCAUAUAUACCACAAACAUAAAACCCACCACUACUUAUUGAACGUUAAAUAAUAUUUACAGAAUUGCCAAUAAUAUCAAAAUAAUAUCAAAACCUACUUAAAAUAAUCAUAAAUCAAAAAUUUAACCUUAAUUUUAUCCAAAACGUGAAGUUUUACCUGUCCAGAGUUUCUUCUAGGCAUCCCCCCCCCCCCUGAACAAGAUGUAAUUUAUAUAGUAAAAUUAUACU